RNAcentral lists this ribosomal RNA (253 nucleotides) under uncultured bacterium. RNAcentral's name for it is "partial 16S ribosomal RNA". It matches the Rfam family "Bacterial small subunit ribosomal RNA", at positions 524 to 776 of the family's 1533-position model. The record is from RNAcentral.
GACGUAGGGCGCGAGCGUUGUCCGGAUUUAUUGGGCGUAAAGAGCUCGUAGGCGGCUUGUCGCGUCGUUCGUGAAAACCCACAGCUCAACUGUGGGCUUGCGGUCGAUACGGGCAGGCUAGAGUUCGGUAGGGGAGACUGGAAUUCCUGGUGUAGCGGUGAAAUGCGCAGAUAUCAGGAAGAACACCAAUGGCGAAGGCAGCUCUCUGGGACGGUACUGACGCUGAGACGCGAAAGCGUGGGGAGCGAACAGG